This 404-nucleotide ribosomal RNA is filed under the name uncultured bacterium. RNAcentral describes it as "bacterial SSU rRNA". It matches the Rfam family "Bacterial small subunit ribosomal RNA", at positions 355 to 776 of the family's 1533-position model. The record is from RNAcentral.
UGGGGAAUAUUGCACAAUGGGGGAAACCCUGAUGCAGCGACGCCGCGUGGGUGAAGAAGUAUUUCGGUAUGUAAAGCCCUAUCAGCAGGGAAGAAAAUGACGGUACCUGACUAAGAAGCCCCGGCUAACUACGUGCCAGCAGCCGCGGUAAUACGUAGGGGGCAAGCGUUAUCCGGAUUUACUGGGUGUAAAGGGAGCGUAGGUGGCGUGCCAAGUCAGGAGUGAAAACCCAGGGCCCAACCCUGGGACUGCUCUUGAAACUGGCAGGCUUGAGUGCUGGAGAGGUAAGCGGAAUUCCUAGUGUAGCGGUGAAAUGCGUAGAUAUUAGGAGGAACACCAGUGGCGAAGGCGGCUUACUGGACAGUGACUGACACUGAGGCUCGAAAGCGUGGGGAGCAAACAGG